Molecule: long non-coding RNA, 239 nt
Organism: Perca fluviatilis (European perch)
Lineage: Eukaryota; Metazoa; Chordata; Actinopteri; Perciformes; Percidae
Exons: 3
Source: RefSeq, a predicted model, not a curated record
CCAGACAAAUUUAAAGCCUCAAUCCAGCAGAACUCUGACAAUGAAGUUGAUUUCAGUCGUCCUGCUCCUGCUGGCUCCACUCUUGACCAGCUAAACAAUCCCUUUUCCACUGGACUGUAGCGACAUCUAUAAAAAUGUCAACACCGAACAAGUGGAGUGUACACAAUCUUUCCCAUCAAAACCAACUUCUGAGGUCCAGGUGUACUGCGAGAUGAACUCAGAAGGAGGAAGGUGGACGG